This 228-nucleotide ribosomal RNA is filed under the name uncultured eukaryote. Its description in RNAcentral is "partial 18S ribosomal RNA". It matches the Rfam family "Eukaryotic small subunit ribosomal RNA", at positions 1208 to 1456 of the family's 1831-position model. The record is from RNAcentral.
GGAAAUCUCACCAGGCCCGGACACUGGAAGGAUUGACAGAUUGAUAGCUCUUUCUUGAUUCAGUGGGUGGUGGUGCAUGGCCGUUCUUAGUUGGUGGAGUGAUUUGUCUGGUUAAUUCCGAUAACGAACGAGACCUUAACCUGCUAAAUAGUGACGCGGUUCAUCGAACCGUGGGCCACUUCUUAGAGGGACUAUCGGAUUCAAACCGAUGGAAGUGUGAGGCAAUAA